GGCACACAGAAUUUAUUACGUCCAUCAUAGCUUACUUAUCAGUAUGUUGCUCUAAUAAACUAUUGUAAAACGGCUCAGUAUAAUAAAAGGCUUGCCCGUUUUGUAUAAUCAUGUUUGCUAAAAUAUGCGUGAGCUUUCUAUAUAUUUAUAUUUUUUUGUUUAUACACGGAGACGUAUACAAGGACAACGCAAUGUUUAAGUUGUCCUUAAGUAAUAUAAAGUAUUGAUUAGGUAUUUUAUUUCAUCGAUGACUUUCUUUAUUGUAUUUAAUAACUUUUGGUAGUUCGAAUUUAAUUUUAUACAUGUACUGUUCUUAUCAAUUUUGCAAGACCCGCUGCUAACCCUACGUCUCGAGACAUUACGCACAUGCUGUACUCGAUAGUAAUGUAUAAUUACAUUGUAUGCUAUUAUCAAUUGAAUUGCUUUCUAAAUAAGAGUCGUAAUAGUGUGAACAAUCUUAACAGUUAUAAUGCUAGCCGUACAACCGUAAUCGUGGCCAGAGCACAGCUUAGUUAUAGCCGCGGUGCGGACGGAAGUGGUCGUCCAAUGCGCGGUGCUUGCCCGAUACAAUAAUUUGUGUGUGACACAUUGUGUGUGAUUCAGUGUUGCAUACACAUGCACUUGAUCGUGAAACUUUCUUAUCGUUUUCAUUGACAUUCCAAAUAAGAAAGCUUUUUUGAUAUUUGUUCACGUGUUUGUUCUUAUUCUACAGUGUUCGUGGAAGGAGGUGUUAUUUAGUAAAUGUUAUUAGUUUCUGAUUACUGAAGUUUGCACAUUAGACGUAAUAUCUAAAUUUCAAUCAGUACAAACAAGACUAAUUUUUAAAUGUGACAGGCACGUAAACGUCACCUGACAAUGUAAUACAUUUAUCAGUGUUUUCCUCUAAUACACACAUCACGAUUCUGCCAGGUUUUUACCAGACUU
Molecule: long non-coding RNA, 924 nt
Organism: Papilio polytes (common Mormon)
Lineage: Eukaryota; Metazoa; Arthropoda; Insecta; Lepidoptera; Papilionidae
Exons: 2
Source: RefSeq, a predicted model, not a curated record